AGCGAACGCUGGCGGCAGGCCUAACACAUGCAAGUCGAACGAACUCUUCGGAGUUAGUGGCGGACGGGUGAGUAACACGUGGGAACGUGCCUUUUGGUUCGGAAUAACUCAGGGAAACUUGUGCUAAUACCGAAUGUGCCCUUCGGGGGAAAGAUUUAUCGCCAUUAGAGCGGCCCGCGUCUGAUUAGCUAGUUGGUGAGGUAACGGCUCACCAAGGCGACGAUCAGUAGCUGGUCUGAGAGGAUGACCAGCCACACUGGGACUGAGACACGGCCCAGACUCCUACGGGAGGCAGCAGGUGGGAAACUUGCGGAAAGGGCGAAAGGCUGACGCCGCCAAGGCGCGUGAAUGAUGAAGGUCUUAGGAUUGGAAAAUUCUUUCCCCGGGGACGAUAAUGACGGUACCCGGAGAAGAAGCCCCGGCUAACUUCGUG
RNAcentral lists this ribosomal RNA (433 nucleotides) under uncultured bacterium. Its description in RNAcentral is "partial 16S ribosomal RNA". It matches the Rfam family "Bacterial small subunit ribosomal RNA", at positions 29 to 507 of the family's 1533-position model. The record is from RNAcentral.